Molecule: long non-coding RNA, 4868 nt
Organism: Acinonyx jubatus (cheetah)
Lineage: Eukaryota; Metazoa; Chordata; Mammalia; Carnivora; Felidae
Exons: 2
Source: RefSeq, a predicted model, not a curated record
UGCAGAGAGCCUCUCUCUAAGUGUGGAAAGGGUCAGGAAACGGAGAAGUUUCCAGCUAGCAUCCCCAGCCUGGAUGGAUGAGGCCCUGGCCCCGGCCCCUGCCUCCCUGACCUCCCUUCUCCACUCCUUUCUCACUAGGUCCACCCGGGCCUGUCCAAGGCCACCUCUGGGGCAGUCUUCCCACCACGUCAGCCCAACACAGUGCCCUUGCCUAGGCCCUGAGCCCACAAAGCCCAAAGCCUGGCCACCUCGAAGGGAGGCCAACCCCUCCCUUCUCCCAGAGCCGCCCCCAGACAGUGGCAGAGCAGUGGGCAGAGUUGGGAGGGAGAGAGCCCCCCGCGGGGUGCGGGUGGGGGUCUGGCCCACCCAUCCCAAGCAGGUCAGAGAAGGCGCCGGGAGGGGCCGUGAGCAUGUGAACUGCUGAAGCUGGAGGGAGGCCCAGCAGUGGCCAGUGGAUCCCCAAAGGCCCAGGUGCUCCCAUGGGGGGCUUGGCACAGAUGCUAUUGACAUGGGUCGUGGCAAGAAGGCCUAGGUCUGACCUCAGGUCAGCCGCUAGCAAAGCAGGCGCUGAGAAUCCUUCCCACCCCUGGCAGACCUCAGUCAGAGGCAGUGUGGAGAAAGGAGCCGGUCAAGAAACCCCAGGGCAGGGCCCCAGCCAGGGCUCUCUGAGGGCAAGGCCGGCCACCCACAGCCCGGCAGAUGGUCCACCACAACCAGCACCCCCUAGAGGGAAAGGGAUCCCCUCACACAUCCCCCAACAACACGGAAGAUGUGGGGACUGAGUCUGGCCAUGCCACGAGGUCGCCCAUGACCAGCCCCUCACUUGUCUCUGAGCCUCGUCCAGGAGGCAGGUAGGAAGGCGUGGGCCUCAAGGGGUUAUAAGGGGUCAUGAGACAAUGUGAGUGGAGCACCAGCAUGGGGCCUGACAGGAAGUGCCCCAAAACCUGGGGCCACGAGGCUGGGCGUGAGGAGGCCCGGUGGGAAGGGCACAGGCCUGGGUGCAGAUCCUGGUGGCCUGCAGGCCUGUUUGCCCACGUAUGCUACGCCCGCCCCACAUCAGGGACACGAGAGGGCCCAACACCCAGAAGCCCUGGCCCAUGCUGCCUGUUGGUGCUGCACUGGAGUGAGCCUGCUGGGGACUGCCAGCCGUGUGGCCUUGGGGGACAGCCUACCGAGCCCCUCUGAGCCACGGGCCAAACAGAUGGGGCCAGAAAAGAAGCUGGUCAUACCACCCAGGGUGUCUGGUCCCACCCAGGGGGACUUGUGGGAGAGGGAAGGGGCACACUUGGAACGUGCCAGAAAGGGCUAGAAUAGCAGGGCCGUGGGCAGGCAUAGGGCCUGCCCUGUGGCUGCAGGUAUAUUAAUAGUUCCUGGGUCCCAGCAGGGCGGUGCCCACAUGCCUUCAGAGCCCAUGUGGGGCAGGAAGGCAGCACCAGGCCCACUGGGAGAGGAGGCCUCCAAGUUCCUGCUGAGCCACUCAAUAGCUUAAAAUAUAAGCAGCCCCUCUCCCUGCCGGCCAGCUGCUGGGGGAGGGCUGAAAUCCUACCCCUCUCCCCCAGCCUGGGCACCAGACCAGGGUCCGGGGAGAGUCGGGGGCCCCGACUGGCUGCCGGAGAGGAAGCUGGGUGGCAGGAGGGAUGGCCGGGCGAGGGGCACACUCCCAGCGGCCGCGCCGGGGUCAGUCCCAAGCUGGAGGACGGGAGCCCGCGCCCUCACAGAGGUAAGCCUGGCCCUCCGGGCAGCACCCUGGGGCCCAGCCCACUGGGGUGGGGGUUGCCUCAGCUCAGGGCUGCUGCGGCUGGAUCUGGGGCUGGGUCGGUCAUUUCCCACUUCUCACCCCCUCAUCCCAGGACCCAGCAGCUUUCAUGCUGAGAGAGGUCUCAGAGGCCCUGAGGAGUGAGGGGAAUGUAGGACCCAGGACCUCUCUGUACGAUUUUAUAAUUACUGCAAACUGAAAAGUGAAAUAAAAGUUUAUGCUAGGUGGCAGAAAGAAAGAAAGAAAGAAAGAAAGAAAGAAAGAAAGAAAGAAAGAAAGAAAAGAAAGUUAUGCUAAGUAAAAGAGGCCAGACACAAAGACUCACCAUAUUAUGUAAAGUGUUCAGAAUCGGCAAACCCAAAGAGCCAGAAAGACUGGGUUGCCAGGGGGCUGCGGAAGGGGGAUGGGGAAUGUUGCCUGAUGGGAACCUGGUAUCUUUUAGGGGUGACGGAAACAUUCUAAAACUAAAACGAGGUGGUGGCUGCAGUGGGACAGACAACACUGUGACUACCAAAUGCCACUGCACUAUUCAUUUUUAAUGGUUCAUUUUAUGCGAACUGCACUUCAAUAAAUUAUUUUUAAGGGGGGGGGGGAUGCGCUAAGAAGCAGGCCCCAAUUACCCAUCAAAAGAAAAUGCCCCAGGGCAGGGAGCAGCAAGGGUACCCCACCCCCAUCCACCUCCCAACACUGGGGGCCUAAACAGAGGGGACAUGGUCAUAUGCUUCCCAUUCUUCAGUCCCUCAGCUUACCCACCCACUGCACCCCUUCCCACCCCGCUGUGACCCCAGCCCCUGCUCUGUGCUGAGCAUACCUCCCAUGCCCUGUCUUUCUCUCUCUCUCUCUGUCUCUGUGUCGCCUGCCCAGGCCUGAUGCCAGCCUAGGGUGGGGACCCAGGGUAGGCCUACGCCAGGUCAGACGGUGCAGGCAGCUGCCAAGCACAGCCCUUAGGCAGGGUUCCUGAGCACAGCAGGGUAGGCAGCAGGCCCAGGCCCCAUCCCUGGGGAGAAGACAGGCCUGGGGAAGGGAGGAGAGGUCAGCCCUCCUAAGGGAGCUGGAGGCAGGUGAAGGGCUGGGAGGGGGGUCACUGGCCGGAGGUCCCAGCCGCUGACCAUAGCUAGGGGGGUGUGGCACAGCAGGCUCCGGCACAAUGGAUACAGAGGACAAGGACGGGGCGGACACCCUGGCCUGGGACACGGGAGCACGGCUCUGCGAUGACAGUUCCACUAGCCCGGGAGGAAUUCUCACCCAGGCGCCUGAGAUUCCAGGAUCUGGCCAACAGCAACUCGUGGCACCACGAGGAAGGUGCCAUCAGGCCAAGAAGCUGGAAGAGGCAGGAGACACUGAGCCCUGCAAACACAGGCUGAUGGGAGCAGCAGGAGGAGCCCAUCCAGGAUGACCCCCCACCUGCGUCCAGCACAUCUGGCCCAGUGCGGCAGGCAGGUUAGUUCACCCCAGAAACUUCCGGAAUCGUCCGCUCUGGGACCCCCAUGGCCAGCUUCAUACACAGCAACAGCUAACACCUCCCACAUGCUCACAAGGUGCCAGACACAGAGGCACAUUCUCAACACAAAUUACCUUUUACUAUUAAUCCCCUUUUACAGAUGAGGAAACUGAGGCUCAUUCGUUCACCACAUAAAUACUGAUUGAACAUCUACUAACUGCUACAUGCCAGGCACUGUUAAAGGCUCUGGGAAUUCAGCUGUGGAAAGAGAGACAGAAAUCUUUGCCCAUGUGCAGCUGACAUUUUAGCAGGGGGGGGACAAAGACCAUCAAAUAAAGUUGCACAUAACAUUAGAAGAUAUCAUGUGCCAUAGGAAAAGCAGAGCAGGGAAAGGGGACAGGAAGUGGAAGGUGAAGAGAGGGUGUGCAGUUUUAUACAAACUGGUCAAGAAAGGCCUCCGGAGGAGACCUUGGGACAAGCCCUGAAUGCAGUGGAGGAAAGAGCUGUUGAGAAAUCUGAGGAAAGCAUCCAGGCAGAGAAAUGGCCUGUGCAAAGGCCCUGAGGUUCAGCAUUCUUGGUGUGUUCAAGCAACAGUGCAGAGGACUGUGUGGCUGGAGAGAGUGAGCAAGAAGGGGGCUGGGGGGAGGUAACAGGUUGUGCAGGGUCUCACCCUCCAGAUGAAGACUAUGGCUUCUAUCCCCCCCCCUUUUUUUUUAAUGUUUAUUUUUGAGAGAGAGAAAGACAGAGUGUGAGCAGGGGAGGGGCAGGGAGAGAGGGAGACACAGAAUCCGAAGCAGGCUCCAGGCUCCGAGCUUUCAGCACAGAGCCCGACGCGGGGCUCAAACACUGACCGUGACAUCGUGACCUGAGCUGAAGUCAGACGCUCAACUGACGGAGCCACCCAGGCGCCCCUGGCUUCUAUUCCAAGUGAGGUGAGAACCCUGGAGGAUUCUGGGCAGAGCAGGGAUAUGACCUGACAAGUUCCUAAAGGAUCCAUCUGGACUACAGGGGAGAAAGGGUGGAAGCAGGGAGCCGAGUAAGAAGCUACGGGAAUAAUUCUGUCAGGAUAAAAGAUGUCUUAGACCCAAGGGUCGGCCAACUAUGGCCCAGAGGCCAAUUCUGGUCCACCGCCUGUUUCUGUACAAACUAAAAUCGUCCUUAUACUUUUAAAUGGUUGGGAAAAAAAAUCAGAAGACUAUUGCGCAGCACAAGGACAUGACGUGAAAUUCAAACUUCAGGAUCCACAAAGCUGUAUCACAGGAACAAGGUCAUGGCUCACUGAUUGUUAAUGUAUCAUCUACGGCUGCUUUGUUGUUGUUUUUUUUUUUUUUACAACUAUCGAGUUGAGAAGAUGUCACAGGAGCUGUAUGGCCCACAAAGCCCACAGUAUUUCCCGUCUGGCCCUUCACGGAUAAAGCCUGCCAACCCCUGGCCUGGGCCUGGUGAUGGUGGGGGGCUGAUGACAAGUGGCCGCAUUCCAGCUGUACAGUGAAGGCUGAGCUGCAGGGUUCGCUGACUUGGACACGAGACGUGGGAGAACAAGCAGAGCCAGAGCCUCGGGGCUGGGUGAUGAGAAGGCUGGAAGUGCCGUUAACUGGAGGGGGGACACGCAGUUUGUGGGCAGUCUGGAGCUCAGGUCGGGACAUUACUAAGUCUGAAAUGCCCAUUAAA